GGAAUAUAAGAACCCGUUUCUUAACUUUUAACUAAAAAAGUUAAGAACCGGCUCUUAAAUAUCUUAAUUGAGAGCCGGUUCUUAACUUUUUUAGUUAAAAGUUAAGAGACGGAUUCUUAUAUUCC
RNAcentral lists this microRNA precursor (125 nucleotides) under Brassica oleracea var. oleracea. RNAcentral describes it as "MIR9563 microRNA precursor family". It matches the Rfam family "MIR9563 microRNA precursor family". Lineage: Eukaryota; Viridiplantae; Streptophyta; Magnoliopsida; Brassicales; Brassicaceae. The record is from Rfam by way of RNAcentral.